RNAcentral lists this non-coding RNA (169 nucleotides) under pig gut metagenome. Its description in RNAcentral is "Lysine riboswitch". It matches the Rfam family "Lysine riboswitch aptamer". From Rfam's summary of the family: Riboswitches are metabolite binding domains within certain messenger RNAs that serve as precision sensors for their corresponding targets. Allosteric rearrangement of mRNA structure is mediated by ligand binding, and this results in modulation of gene expression. This family includes riboswitches that sense lysine in a number of genes involved in lysine metabolism, including lysC. The record is from RNAcentral.
UUAGGUAGAGGCGCGACACGCCAAGAGUAUCCCGGCAGAACGGAAAAUCAGGUUUUCCGCCGGAAGAAAGGGGCUGCCGCCGAAGUCGAAACGAUGCCUGAUUCGCGUUUCGGCUGGGCCGCCGGAGAACAUCCGUCGGACUGUCACAGAAAUGUGGAGCGCUAUCGUU